GUGGUUUAAUUCGAAGCAACGCGAAGAACCUUACCAAAUCUUGACAUCCUUUGACAACUCUAGAGAUAGAGCUUUCCCCUUCGGGGGACAAAGUGACAGGUGGUGCAUGGUUGUCGUCAGCUCGUGUCGUGAGAUGUUGGGUUAAGUCCCGCAACGAGCGCAACCCUUAAGCUUAGUUGCCAUCAUUAAGUUGGGCACUCUAAGUUGACUGCCGGUGACAAACCGGA
This 227-nucleotide ribosomal RNA is filed under the name uncultured bacterium. RNAcentral's name for it is "partial 16S ribosomal RNA". It matches the Rfam family "Bacterial small subunit ribosomal RNA", at positions 941 to 1167 of the family's 1533-position model. The record is from RNAcentral.